RNAcentral lists this small RNA (561 nucleotides) under Pongo abelii (Sumatran orangutan). Its description in RNAcentral is "retained intron". Lineage: Eukaryota; Metazoa; Chordata; Mammalia; Primates; Hominidae. The record is from RNAcentral.
GUGAGCCCGCCCGCCACUCAGUGCCCAGGGCGUGCCGCCUCCGCGUCCUGCGUCCCAUCCUCUCCCAGCAGGUGGGCGUGCACUGCUACAGCAGGAGGGGAAGGAAGGCUCCUGAGUCCCUGGCCCGGCUGUCCUCUCCGUGGUGCUCUCCUCUCCGUAGCCUCCAGCCUGUCUGCACUGCAGCCCCAACCUGGGCCUAGCCCGCUGACCUCUGACCUUCUCUUUCGUUUUAAGAAACGCUUGAAAGCAGCUGAAGCUGAGAGCAAGUUGAAGCAAGUUUAUAUUCCCAACUAUAACAAACCAAAUCCAAACCAAAUCAGCGUCAACAACGUCAAGGCCGGUGUGGUGAACGGCACGGGAGCACCGGGCCAGAGCCCUGGGGCUGGCCGAGCCUGCGAGAGCUGUUACACCACACAGUCUUACCAGUGGUAUUCUUGGGGUCCCCCUAACAUGCAGUGUCGUCUCUGCGCAUCUUGUUGGACAUAUUGGAAGAAAUAUGGUGGCUUGAAAAUGCCAACCCGGUUAGAUGGAGAGAGGCCAGGACCAAACCGCAGUAACAUG